This 441-nucleotide ribosomal RNA is filed under the name Triticum aestivum (bread wheat). Its description in RNAcentral is "partial small subunit ribosomal RNA". The record is from RNAcentral. Lineage: Eukaryota; Viridiplantae; Streptophyta; Magnoliopsida; Poales; Poaceae.
AUGGCCGGUGAAGAAGACGGCGGCAGCGCGGCGACCCAAGGUACUGCUGUUCCUGAUGCUGAUGCUGAAGCAACGGCGGCCCAGGAAAGGGCGCUCGUGAACGUGAUGCCGACGGAGGAGGUGGAGUACCUCCUCUCCCGCGACCACAGCAAGCCUGUCCCCCGCCGGGACGACGACGACCACAACCCGCACAAGGAUGAGUGGAACGACGCCGCCGACUUCUUCGACGACCUGAGUAGGCAGCUCGCCGCCGAGCAGGCCGUGCUCCGGGCCGAGUACAUCGCCAAGGGCUACAUCGACCUCGGCCACGACCAGGUGGCCAGGAGAUCGCAGCUCAGUCACCAGGUGUAUCUCGAGGCCAAAGCCGCCGCCGCCGCCGCCGAUCACCAUGGUGAUUUCGUUGAAAAGCUCAACCGUGACAAGGAGGACGAUGACGAGUGA